RNAcentral lists this long non-coding RNA (2924 nucleotides) under Sus scrofa (pig). RNAcentral's name for it is "lncRNA (ENSSSCG00005029192.1)". The record is from RNAcentral. Lineage: Eukaryota; Metazoa; Chordata; Mammalia; Artiodactyla; Suidae.
CCACAACGGGAACUCCUUCCUCAUCUUUUCUUACAUGAGUAGCAAAUGUUCAUUUGCUUGCAAAAUAAGUGUGGUUAUUUUAUAGUAAAAUUACUGUUUUAAACUUUUUCUGUUAUCAACAGUACAAAAAUUCCCCCGAAAAGCCAUAAUUCCUAGAAAUGAAGUUUUCUCUGAGGAGGCAGUGUUUUGAAAAUAAGGUUCACUGAUUCCCAGUGUUCACUCAGCAAAACUGGUUGACUCAAAAACAUUAGACCUAUUUUUCGGUUUCCGGUUACUUUAUAAUUUAAAAAAAAAAUUUUUAUUAUAGUUGAUUUACAAUGUAAAGUGAACCAGUUAUACAUAAACAUACAUUCUUUUUUUCACAUUAUCCUCCAUCAUGUUCCAUCACAAGUGAUUAUAGUUCCCUAUGCUAUACAGCAGGACUGGUUACAAUUUUAGAAUGAAGUAAAUGGGUAUUUAAUAAGAUUCUAACCUUACAUAAUCAAUUAUUAACAAGAAAACAUAUAAUUUUAACAAAUUUAUUUUAAAAGUGUUUAAUAUAGAAAACAAUAGCAUUUAGAGUGUAUUCCAUUUCAUUUUUAGUAAAUUAUUAAACAUCAGUCCAUUUCCUACUUCUAGUUCUAAUCAUGUCUUCUAUCUUCUAUCCUUACAAUGCCUACCACAAUGCUAGGUACUUAGGAAAGAUUCAAAAUCAAUCGCUAGUAAAAGAAUAGGGAGUUUCCACUGUGGUGCAGUGGGUUAAUGAUCAGGCUUGUCUUUGUGGUGUUGCCAGUUCGAUCCCUUGCCAGCACAGGCUAAGGACCCUAUGUUGCCACAGCUGUGGCGUAGGUUAUGCACACGGCUCGGAUUCAAUGUCUGGCCUGGAAACUUCCAUAUGCCACUGGUGCAGCCAAAAACGGGUGAAGGGAGGAAGCGAGGGAGAGAAAGAAAGAAAGAAAGAAAGAAAGAAAGAAAGAAAGAAAGAAAGAAAGAAAGAAAGAAAAAGGUCAGCUGAUUACUGAGGAAUAAAGUUGGAGAAGUAGAGUGGCUAUAGAUUGUGAGGGGUUUGGAGAGCCAAAUUAAAGAGUUUGGGCUUGUCCCUACAGCUGUUGGGGAGUAUCUAAAAUUUUGAAGUGGGAGUAUAUUCCCAUAUCUCUGUUUUGGCUGUGCAGAGUCUGCUUUGGAGAGGAAAGAAUGAAGAAAAAUUUCUCUGACCCAGAUAGGAUCUCAGACCUAAUACCUUCUUGGCUAAAAAUUUAUCAAUUUAAUUUCUAUCCUUGUAAAUCAUGAAGGGGAGGGGAAUUCAGUAGGUACCCAUGAAAAUACUUGGCAAGUGACUUAAACUUUAAACAUUUUUUGAUUAUAAACCUAACAUAACCAUCUUGCAAAAUCUCAAACCUAAAGAAAAAUGGCAUAAACUAUGGAUAAUCCUACCACAGUACUACUAGCAUUUCGGUAUACUGGAUUUCCUAUCGGUCUUUCCCCUUUUUUAAAAAAACAGCUUGCUCUUCAAAAUAAGACAGCUGGCUCAAGCUGAUAGCGGAUUACCAGAGACCAGGUCAGAUACGAAGAAGCAUAACCAAAAGUAAUCUCUGAAUAUAUUUUAGCAGGAGCAAGGCAGACUCUAAAAGAAAACCAAACUGGAAAUACGUGUCUCAAAAGAGGAAGCACAGUUCCUGUUGUGGCACAGUGGUUAACAAAUCCAACUAGGAACCAUGAGGUUGUGGGUUCGAUCCCUGGCCUCAAAGAUCCGGCGUUGCCAUGAGCUGUGGUGUAGGUUGCAGACGCGGCUUGGAUCCUGUGUUGCUGUGGCUCUGGCAUAGGCCAGUGGCUACAGCUCUGAUUAGACCCGUAGCCUGGGAACCUCCAUAUGCCACAGGUGCAGCCCUAGAAAAGACAAAAAAUUUAAAAAUAAAUAAAUAAAUAAAAUGAGGAAGCAAAGGGCAAGAGUUCAAAGAGUGGAAAAGUUCAAGUGCUAGCCACUCCAGGAGGGCAGUAUGUAUAGGGAAGUUAUUUUACCAGGUGGCCUACUGUAUAUUGUGAGCUGGGUGUAGCUGCUUAUAGUGUUGGACUGGGUAGUUGUAAUCUUAAUUAUUUUGUCCUCGUUUCAUUUUACCUUAAAUCAUAUGCAUUUCUCAUGUUCUUAUACAGCCUUCAUAACCACUCGUAUUUUCAGAGAUUAAAUUUUUUUAAUAAGAUAAAAAUUAAAGGAGCUCCUGUUGUGGCUCAGCAGUAAUGAACUUGACUGGUAUCCAUGAAGAGGCUUUCAGUGAGUUAAGGAUCCAGCAUUGCUGUGAGCUGUGAUGUAGGUCUCAGACAUGGUUCAGAUCCCAAGUUGCUCGGCUGUGGUGUAGGCCGGCAGCUGCAGCUCCAAUUUGACCCUUAGCCUGGGAACUUCUAUAUGCCACAGGAGCAACACUAAAAAGGAAAAAUACAUAAGUUUUUUAAAAAUUUAAAAAUAUUUUUAAAGUUUUAUUUUAUUCCUUUUAACAAUUUUGUUUUAAUAUUUCCUUUAACUUUUUUUUUUUUUUUAGGGCUGCACUUGGGUCAUAUGGAAGUUCCCGGGCUAGGGAACUUAACCAGUUUGCUUAACCAGUCCUUAUUGUUAAGCAUUUACAUUACUUCUAAUUUUUUUCCAUUCUAAAUAAUGCUUUUUGUAUAAAUGUACAAGGCACUGUAAGGAGGGAGUACCCUCGGUGACAUAGCAGAUUAAGGAUCUGGCGUUUUCACUGCAGCAGCUUGGGUCGUUAGACCAGGAACUUGUACGUCCGGAGUGCAGCCAAAAAAAAAAAAAAAAAUUAUUUCCUCUGAGAAAAUUCUCACAUGUGGGUUUUCUAUAUCAAGUAGUGUGAAAAUUUCAAAAGUUCCUGAUAUGUACUGCCAAAUUGAUUUAAAAGGUUUGUCCUAAAUUCCGCUUCCACUAUUAUGUGAGAGAGAAAACCAAC